GUGCUGGUCUCUGAGCUGUUGCCAUGACUCUGUCAACACUGACAGCCCGGAGGAAAGGUCGACUCGUCCUGAGAGUUUUUUCUCCACAAAAGAAGUUUAAUGCCCCUAAGUCCAGACUGACAGGCUGAUAUUAAAACCCCUGCAGGGACACUCGCACGUCUUCUGAUCCUGAAGAGCCGAAUCCCGGGGCGAAGGAAGAGGCUUUAACCCCUGAUGCUGAUGGACCCGGACCCCGACCCCGUCCCCUAUCCCCAGGCAUUUGAGCCAAAUGCUGCUGCCUUGCGCCAGCGUGUGGGUUUGUAAAAACACAAGAGAGUCGAUGGGUUCCCUUUUCAUCUGUGAGGACACGGCCACCGCUGGAGGGCUGGGACGGGCACAGUUGCUCAGCUACAAGUGAUAGAAAUUGUUUUUGUGAAUAAAGCCCCACUUGUCUUUGUAUUUAAUUGCGUAGACACAACUCAAAUGCAUUUGGAUUAGACUCGUUUCAAACAAGGGAAUACUGAGUCACCUGCUGCGUCAUGUACCGUCUGUGUGUCCCUCUGCAUCCGUCACAACUCCACCCAGGAGGGAAUCCCCGAUCAUUCCUGCUAGUCUCUCAUCCAGUGGGCCGGGCUCCGGUGUCCCCUUUCCUCUGCCUGUGCAAUGCCGCUUUCGGGUCAGACAGCCCGACCUUCCGAGCAGCAGCAUUCACAGCGUCCGCCACAUGCUGCCACCGUAACGCCUCUUUGGUAUUUGCAAGGCCCACAGUGUGUCCACCAAACAACUUCUUUUAUCUCGUCUCAACCUCCCAACAAGAAUUUGAGUUUCAGACUGUGUGAAAUUCCUUUUUUUAGUCUUUCUGUCAGCGCUUGCCAUGAUUGUCUUCAUGCAGUCAGUAGGAAUGAAUGUUAAUUGGGGGCGUUUCACUGCCUAUUUAUAGGCAACUAUGGGUGAUGCAUGAAGCUCGCACAGGUACGGCAAAUUUUGAGUGGAUUGUUUUUAAUAAAGGGAAAUCAGCGUAGGACGUGCAUGCGCACCGCGUUAUAAAUCAGAACAUUUUUGUGCGUACGCACUUUCUGUGUUUCAUCCGUACGCCGCCUUUUGAUGUGAAUCCUACGCUCAGUUUUAUUAAUGAGGCCCCCUUAUCUGUAGACCUCGAUCUGGUCCUGCCCUCACAUCGACACAGAGAGAGAAAAUGGUCAGAGUAAAGGACCAAUCUGUCAUUUUUCACCACAUACAAUAAGUUCCCCUGUCGCCAUAAAAAUGUGAGUUAACUGAACUUGGAUAAUUAGUUUUGUUUCAUGAGUUCUGGAAAUGUAACACCAGCUGGUUUAAGUUCACGAACUUAGAAAAUGGGUUAAAUAAACUUUAGAUAUUAAGUUGAAUCAACAGU
Long non-coding RNA from Xiphias gladius (swordfish), 1372 nucleotides. RefSeq lists it as uncharacterized. NCBI's taxonomy places the organism in Eukaryota, Metazoa, Chordata, Actinopteri, Istiophoriformes, Xiphiidae. The transcript is spliced from 3 exons. The record is from RefSeq and is a predicted model, not a curated record.